AUCUACCGUGCAAGGUAGCAUAAUCACUUGUCCCUUAAUUAGGGACUAGUAUGAACGACUAAAUGAGGGCCUAACUGUCUCCCAUGACCAAUCAAUGAAACUGAUCUCCCAGUACAAAAGCUGAGAUAUACCCAUAAGACGAGAAGACCCUGUGGAGCUUUCAACCUACUUGCUAAAUCAAAACCCAACAGCCAACUUGACUUCCAAACACCCCUACCAUAGCAAUAAGUUUAAGUUGGGGCAACUUUGAAAAAAAAACAAACUUUCAAGCUAAAAGGAUUACCACCCAAAGCAUAGACCCACAAGCCUACGCACUAACUACUAGACCCAGUAAUACUGAUCAACGAACCAAGUUACCCCAGGGAUAACAGCGCAAUCCCCUUUUAGAGUCCCUAUCGCCAUGGGGGUUUACGACCUCGAUGUUGGAUCAGGACACCCAAGUGGUGCAGCCGCUACUAAUGGUUCGUUUGUUCAACGAUUAACAGUCCUACGUGAUCU
Molecule: ribosomal RNA, 498 nt
Filed under: Goniurosaurus varius (Nanling leopard gecko)
Lineage: Eukaryota; Metazoa; Chordata; Lepidosauria; Squamata; Eublepharidae
Description: partial large subunit ribosomal RNA
Rfam family: Bacterial large subunit ribosomal RNA
Source: RNAcentral